Molecule: long non-coding RNA, 785 nt
Organism: Eriocheir sinensis (Chinese mitten crab)
Lineage: Eukaryota; Metazoa; Arthropoda; Malacostraca; Decapoda; Varunidae
Exons: 4
Source: RefSeq, a predicted model, not a curated record
GAUUUUCUUGGUUUGCCCUCAACAAAAGGAAAACACAACAAUCAACGGCCCUAACAAGGGGAAGAGGAGUCUUGUAUAGAUCAUUGGAAGCCUGCCGUAGCUGGCGGCGCCGACCGCUGUGCAGGCGCGGCCGUCACGUGCACCACCACGCUGGCGAGCCCCCCCACCCCCCAGCCGCCUCCGCCCACCAGCUUGCCUUCUGUCUCCUGUUAUUCCGUCCUUGCUUUUCCGCACAUCACGUUUUAAGAUGUGAGUUCGCGGCGCCUGCGUCACGGAUACACCUUGUGGGAGGGGCAGCUCAGGGAGGGACGGCAGCUGGCCGUGCAGAUACAGGUAAUGGUAAAGUUGGGUGCAUACGCUAUAGCUGCGCAUGGCCUCGGUGCUCAUCACCGUCACAACCGUCACAAUAGCCCUUGAGCCUGUGGCGGGAUGUAACCCAUCACCCCGGAACCGAGUCAGCGUGACGUCCCGGGUACCACAGAGACUGACCCCAGGUUUCCCCAGGCAUACCCAUUUAUCGACCAUGGCAAAAGGGAGGAUGAGCAGUUGGAUGGGCCGUGAGCUGAGAUUCAAACCCAGACCCGCAGAUUCAUAGCUAACCAUGCUAACCACCUCACCACGGAGGAGCUUUCCAAAGACAUGAAGAUAACCAUGAGCAUGGUAGUAAGGAGCCCCUUCACAGUAAACUCUGCCUCGGACAAAUCCUGAAGCUUGACCAGUUUGCUCUUCAGGUUGUUCACCAGAAUGUAGCUGUCCUUCAGCGUGACAAUCUCAUAACCGAAAAC